GGCUGCAUGGGCGCAGUCUGAUGCAGCCAUGCCGCGUGAGUGAUGAAGGCCUUCGGGUUGUAAAGCUCUUUCCUAUGGAAGAAAAUGACUGUACUAAUAUGAUAAUGACCUGACAUUUCCAAGACAGAAAGCCUGAGUUUAUUACAUGCCAGCAGCCGCGAUAAUAA
Molecule: ribosomal RNA, 167 nt
Filed under: uncultured bacterium
Lineage: Bacteria
Description: partial 16S ribosomal RNA
Rfam family: Bacterial small subunit ribosomal RNA
Source: RNAcentral